CUACGGAGGGUGCAAGCGUUACUCGGAAUCACUGGGCGUAAAGCGCGCGCAGGCGGUCUUUUAAGUUGGAUGUGAAAGCCUACGGCUCAACCGUAGAACUGCAUCCAAAACUAUUAGACUAGAGUGUGGGAGAGGAAGAUGGAAUUAGUUGUGUAGGGGUAAAAUCCGUAGAGGUAACUAGGUAUACCAAAAGCGAAGGCAAUCUUCUGGAACACUACUGACGCUGAGGCGCGAAAGCGUGGGGAGCAAACAGGAUUAGAAACCCCAGUAGUCC
Molecule: ribosomal RNA, 274 nt
Filed under: uncultured bacterium
Lineage: Bacteria
Description: partial 16S ribosomal RNA
Rfam family: Bacterial small subunit ribosomal RNA
Source: RNAcentral